RNAcentral lists this transfer RNA (73 nucleotides) under Sillago asiatica (Asian whiting). RNAcentral describes it as "tRNA-Leu". It matches the Rfam family "tRNA". Rfam says of the family: Transfer RNA (tRNA) molecules are approximately 80 nucleotides in length. Their secondary structure includes four short double-helical elements and three loops (D, anti-codon, and T loops). Lineage: Eukaryota; Metazoa; Chordata; Actinopteri; Sillaginidae. The record is from RNAcentral.
GUUAGAGUGGCAGAGCCCGGCAAUGCAAAAGACCUAAGCCCUUUGGACAGAGGUUCAAAUCCUCUCCCUAACU